RNAcentral lists this ribosomal RNA (451 nucleotides) under rape rhizosphere bacterium cse031. RNAcentral's name for it is "bacterial SSU rRNA". It matches the Rfam family "Bacterial small subunit ribosomal RNA", at positions 27 to 471 of the family's 1533-position model. The record is from RNAcentral.
GAGUGAACGCUGGCGGUAGGCCUAACACAUGCAAGUCGAACGGCAGCACAGGAGAGCUUGCUCUCAUGGGUGGCGAGUGGCGGACGGGUGAGGAAUACAUCGGAAUCUACCUUUUCGUGGGGGAUAACGUAGGGAAACUUACGCUAAUACCGCAUACGACCUUCGGGUGAAAGCAGGGGACCUUCGGGCCUUGCGCGGAUAGAUGAGCCGAUGUCGGAUUAGCUAGUUGGCGGGGUAAAGGCCCACCAAGGCGACGAUCCGUAGCUGGUCUGAGAGGAUGAUCAGCCACACUGGAACUGAGACACGGUCCAGACUCCUACGGGAGGCAGCAGUGGGGAAUAUUGGACAAUGGGCGCAAGCCUGAUCCAGCCAUACCGCGUGGGUGAAGAAGGCCUUCGGGUUGUAAAGCCCUUUUGUUGGGAAAGAAAAGCAGUCGGCUAAUACCCGGUUG